GUUAUAUGGUCAAGCGAAUAAGCGCACACGGUGGAUGCCUUGGCGGUCAGAGGCGAUGAAGGACGUGGCAGCCUGCGAAAAGUAUCGGGGAGCUGGCAACAAGCUUUGAUCCGGUAAUGUCCGAAUGGGGAAACCCACCCGCUUGCGGGUAUCCUGCAGUGAAUACAUAGCUGCUGGAAGCGAACCUGGUGAACUGAAAUAUCUAAGUAACCAGAGGAAAAGAAAUCAACCGAGAUUCCGUAAGUAGCGACGAGCGAACGCGGACUAGCCCUUAAGCUGAUUUGGUUCUAGGAAAACGCUCUGGAAAGAGCGGCCAUAGAAGGUGAUAGCCCUGUAUCUGAAAGGGCCAUUUCAGUGAAGACGAGUAGGGCGGGGCACGUGAAACCCUGUCUGAACAUGGGGGGACCAUCCUCCAAGGCUAAAUACUACUGACCGACCGAUAGUGAACCAGUACCGUGAGGGAAAGGCGAAAAGAACCCCGGAGAGGGGAGUGAAAUAGAACCUGAAACCGUGUGCGUACAAGCAGUAGGAGCUCCGCAAGGAGUGACUGCGUACCUUUUGUAUAAUGGGUCAGCGACUUACUGUUCGUGGCAAGCUUAACCGUAUAGGGGAGGCGAAGGGAAACCGAGUCUGAUAAGGGCGCAUAGUCGCGGGCAGUAGACCCGAAACCGGGUGAUCUAGUCAUGCCCAGGGUGAAGGUGCGGUAACACGCACUGGAGGCCCGAACCCACUCCCGUUGCAAAGGUAGGGGAUGAGGUGUGAUUAGGAGUGAAAAGCUAAUCGAACCCGGAGAUAGCUGGUUCUCCUCGAAAGCUAUUUAGGUAGCGCCUCAUAUGUAUCCUCUCGGGGGUAGAGCACUGUUAUGGCUAGGGGGUCAUCGCGACUUACCAAACCAUUGCAAACUCCGAAUACCGAGACGGACUGUAUGGGAGACACACGGCGGGUGCUAACGUCCGUCGUGAAAAGGGAAACAACCCAGACCCACAGCUAAGGUCCCAAAUUUUGUGCUAAGUGGAAAACCAUGUGGAAAGGCACAGACAGCCAGGAGGUUGGCUUAGAAGCAGCCACCCUUUAAAGAAAGCGUAAUAGCUCACUGGUCGAGUCGGUCUGCGGGGAAGAUUUAACGGGGCUAAGCACAGAACCGAAGCUUGGGGUGCAUAACUUUGUUAUGCGCGGUAGAGGAGCGUUCCGUAAGCCGUUGAAGGUGGAUUGAGAAGUCUGCUGGAGGUAUCGGAAGUGCGAAUGCUGACAUGAGUAACGAUAAUGCGGGUGAAAAACCCGCACGCCGAAAGCCCAAGGUUUCCUUGCGCAACGUUAAUCGGCGCAGGGUGAGUCGGCCCCUAAGGCGAGGACGAAAGUCGUAGUCGAUGGGAAGCAGGUUAAUAUUCCUGCACCUCGCGUAAGUGCGAUGGAGGGACGGAGAAGGUUAGGUGUACCAGGCGUUGGUUGUCCUGGGGAAAGGCGGUAGGUUUGGAUCUUUGGCAAAUCCGGGAUCCUUUAAGACCGAGCACCGAGACGAGCCUUUAAGGCGAAGUCACUGAUACCACGCUUCCAGGAAAAGCUCCUAAGCUUCAGCUUACGCAGACCGUACCGUAAACCGACACAGGUGGGUAGGAUGAGAAUUCUCAGGCGCUUGAGAGAACUCGGGUGAAGGAACUAGGCAACAUGGCACCGUAACUUCGGGAGAAGGUGCACCCUUUUUGGUGGCUCGUGCGAGCUAUAGCUGAAGAGGGUCGCAGUAACCAGGCCGCUGCGACUGUUUAUCAAAAACACAGCACUCUGCAAACACGAAAGUGGACGUAUAGGGUGUGACGCCUGCCCGGUGCUGGAAGGUUAAUUGAUGGGGUCAGCCGCAAGGCGAAGCUCUUGAUCGAAGCCCCAGUAAACGGCGGCCGUAACUAUAACGGUCCUAAGGUAGCGAAAUUCCUUGUCGGGUAAGUUCCGACCUGCACGAAUGGCGUAACGACAGCGGCGCUGUCUCCACCCGAGACUCAGUGAAAUUGAAAUCGCUGUGAAGAUGCAGCGUUCCCGUGGCAAGACGGAAAGACCCCGUGAACCUUUACUAUAG
Molecule: ribosomal RNA, 2068 nt
Filed under: Stenotrophomonas maltophilia
Lineage: Bacteria; Pseudomonadati; Pseudomonadota; Gammaproteobacteria; Lysobacterales; Lysobacteraceae
Description: bacterial LSU rRNA
Rfam family: Bacterial large subunit ribosomal RNA
Source: RNAcentral